UAAACCCCUUACUGAGUUGGUGUCA
Molecule: non-coding RNA, 25 nt
Filed under: Gossypium hirsutum (cotton)
Lineage: Eukaryota; Viridiplantae; Streptophyta; Magnoliopsida; Malvales; Malvaceae
Source: RNAcentral